UACAGUGUACUUACAUAUAAAAAUAUGUCUUUUAAAAAAUUAAUUUACUUAUUUGAGAUAAUAUGUUACUAUGAUCUGUCUUUCUUGGGAUUCUGUAAACCAUGAUGGCUUCUAAGGCACAAAGAUUCCUCUGCCUUCCAAAUGCCAGCAUUAAAGGCAUGAACCACCACAUUCAACACUAAAUCUGCACAAUAUGCUAUGCUUAGGUUUGGUGUGGAGUGCCUUUUCCCACCGAAUCAUAUUGCUUGUGCUUAGACUCCCUUGGGUGUUAAUAGUUAGAAAAAUGCAAGCAAAUUGGUCUAGUCAGAAAAUGUAAUAGAGGACAUGGUGCUUAAGAAAGGCUGGGUGUCUUGAGUUACAUCUCUACUGGGAGUUAACUUUGUGACUUUUGUCAGGUUAACUCAUUUGGCCGAUUUUUCUCAAAUUUAGGGCUAGAAUUGAAAAGGUAAAAUAUGAGAUUGAAAUCCUAUUUAGAAAUAUGUUUUAAUAUCACAUUUAGAAAUGUUUUGUGGCCGGGUGGUGCUGGCGCACACCUUUAAUCCCAGCACUUGGGAGGCAGAGGCAGGCGGAUUUCUGAGUUUGAGGCCAGCCUGGUCUACAAAGUGAGUGCCAGGACAGCCAGGGCUACACAGUGAAACCCUAUCUCGAAAAAACCAAAAAUAAAAGAAAUGUUUCAUACGAGUUUUGGGAUCAAACUUGGUCUGUUAUGCUUUGUAGCAAGUUCUUUUACAAAGAGGCAUCUGAACAUCAAACAGCAACUUUUAGAUAGUGGAUAGUGAAGAGCAAGAAGAACUGAUACCCAAAAAGAUAGCCACUAAGAAAGAUGAGAUUUUGACAGGAUUUCUCAUUUUGUGUCCGUGUGUGGGGGUUGGUGGUUGGUUGAGACAGGUUUCUUUGGGGACCAGGCAGACCAGGUAAACGAGAUUUACCUAACUGCCACUUAAGUGCUGGGAUUAAAGGUGUGUGCUACGCCCAUCCAGCAAGACUUCUGAGUCUAACUUUACUUUUUGUUACAUAUAUCCUACGUUUUUUUUUUUUAAUUACUGAAAUUGGUUUAUUGGGAAUUAGUUUUAAAUAUGAUUUUUAUUUAUUGAGACAAGGUCUUACUGUGAACAGUUAUCAGCACCAAUAUUGGGUUCAAAAUUCAACUCCGGGUUAUCUCAUCCCUUCUUCUGGCUUCUUUGGGUCUGCACUGAAGCACAUAUCUUAGCUGUGCACAUGUAUAUAUACAUAAUUUUUAUUUAUUUUUAAUUCUUUUUUUUUUAAGAUUUAUUUGUUACGUGAGUACAUUAUAGCUGUUCAGAUGGUUGUGAACCUUCAUGUGGUUGUUGGGAAUUGAAAUUUUUUUAGAACUGCUGCUCGCUCCGUUGAGCCCUGCUCUGUCACCCCCAGCUUUCUCUGGCCCAAAAAUUUAUACUUAUGUAUGCUGUAGCUGCCUUGACAAACCAGAAGAGGGCGUCAGAUCUCAUUGUAGAUGGUUAUGAGCCACCAUGUGGUUGCUGAGAUUUGAACUCAGGAUCUUCAGAACACUGAGCCAUCUCUACAGCCUUACUUUUUUGUUUGUUUUGCUUUGUUUUGUUUUUUUUCAAGAUAGGGUUUCUCUGUAUAUCCCUGGCUGUCCUGUAACUGAUUUUGUAGACCAGGCUGGCCUUAAACUCAGAAAUCUGCCUGCCUCUGGAGUGCUGGGAUUAAAGGCAUGUGCCACCCCGCCCAGCUAUGAUUUUUUUUAAAGAUUUAUUUAUUAUAUGUAAGUACACUGUAACUGUCAGACUCUCCAGAAGAGGGGAUCAGAUCUCACUAAGGAUAGUUUGUUUCUAGGACUUGAACCCAUGACCUCUGGAAGAGCAGUCAGUUCACUUAACCACUAAGCCAUCUCUCCAGCCCUUGAUUUUUAUUUUUUAAGG
RNAcentral lists this long non-coding RNA (1904 nucleotides) under Mus musculus (house mouse). Its description in RNAcentral is "long non-coding RNA chr11:80020054-80021958". The record is from RNAcentral. Lineage: Eukaryota; Metazoa; Chordata; Mammalia; Rodentia; Muridae.